GAGUCAUUAGCUCAGUUGGUAGAGCAUCUGACUUUUAAUCAGAUGGUCGUAGGUUCGAAUCCUACAUGACUCAUCA
Molecule: transfer RNA, 76 nt
Filed under: Carnobacterium maltaromaticum
Lineage: Bacteria; Bacillati; Bacillota; Bacilli; Lactobacillales; Carnobacteriaceae
Description: tRNA-Lys
Rfam family: tRNA
About the family: Transfer RNA (tRNA) molecules are approximately 80 nucleotides in length.
Source: RNAcentral